CUGCAAGGAGUGUGGGCCUCCCAGGCUGUCCCUUCUGGAUUCGGCUUUACUUUAAGAGGAGAUUCAGACAUAGACAAGAAUGAUUACCCUGGAGGAUAAAGUCCCUGCCCUGUUUCUGACACGAUGCCUGGUGCUGUGGAUGCAAAGAUUCUUUCUUUCUUCAUUUCAGCCCCUACCAUUCCAUAAAAUCUUUGUGAUAUGCAAACCCAAAGAAAGAUCCCUGCCCUGGAAGAGCUUAUAGUCUAUUUUCUUGGUCAUUUCCAAAGAGUAAAUUCUUACAAUUUGUCUGUUAUUUAUAAAGUGUCCAAUCUCAAGAUAUAAACAUUUCACCUUAUUUGGAAACAAAACAAAGCGCAUGAUCCCUUGGAAUCAGUUUUCAUAAUGGAACUUUCCUGUCUGGUGUUGUGUCAAUAGACGCAGAUCAGACCAAGUGCCACCUGUACUACACUUGUCUAAAUACUGGAGUUCAGAUUACACAGGAAGAACAGAGUCUGUGUUUCUUCAAAUCAGUAGCUCUUUUCCUCUGACAUAGCGAAAAUGCACUGUUGUGCAGGGAGAAACGAAUGUCAACAGAAAAAAUGUGAAAAUCAUUGAAAACGGUGAAAUUCUGAUAUGUUUUCAAAACUGGUAGACUUAGAAACUUUGCUUUCUGACUUCAUAGAUUUGAACCCUUGGAAAAGAGUUUUAUUCCAUGAGUCAUAGGUACUCAGGUGGUAGCCCUUGACUUACUGUCUUCCUUAAUCUCACAGACGGAGCUCCUGCAGUAGUCCCCAACCUUUCUGGCACCAGGGACUGGUUUCGUGGAAGAAACUUUUCCACAUACCAGGAGUUGGGGCAGGGAUGACUUGGGAUGGUUUCGGGCCUUAUAUUUACUGUAUACUUUAUUUCUAUUAUUAUUAUAUCAGCUCCACCUCAGAUCAUCAGGCAUUAGGUCCUGGAGGUUGGGGACCCCUACUAGAUGACUUUCAUUUGACUUGUUGAACAUGGUUGUUAUUUAGUCACUCAAUCUUGUCCAACCAUUUGAAAUCCCACGGACAACAGCCCGCCAGUUUCUCUGUCCAUAGCAUUCUCCAGGCUAGAAUACUUGAGUGGGUUGCUAUUUCCUUCUCAAUUAAACAUUAGCAUGCACAUCUUUUAAAACAUGGAUCUUUGGAGUCCAGUCCUGAGUCUCUCAUCUGAAUCUGAUGCUGUGUCUAUAUAACAAUAAACUUUCAACUUUUUAAACUGAAGUAUAGUUGAUUCACAAUAUUGUGUUAGUUUCAGCUAUACAGCCAAGUGACUCAGUUAUGUGGAGAUAUAUAUAUAUAUAUAUAUAUAUAUAUGUUCUGAUUAUUUUCCUUUAU
RNAcentral lists this long non-coding RNA (1343 nucleotides) under Bos grunniens (domestic yak). Its description in RNAcentral is "lncRNA (ENSBGRG00000016217.1)". Lineage: Eukaryota; Metazoa; Chordata; Mammalia; Artiodactyla; Bovidae. The record is from RNAcentral.